ACACGCUGGCGGCGUGCCUAAUACAUGCAAGUCGAACGGUCUUUCUAUGGAAGCUUGCUUCCACUGAGAAGAUAGUGGCGAACGGGUGAGUAACACGUGGGUAACCUGCCCAUAAGAGGGGGAUAACAUCCGGAAACGGGUGCUAAUACCGCAUAGUUUUCUUGAUCGCAUGAUUGAGAAAGGAAAGACGGCCUUUGUGCUGUCGCUUAUGGAUGGACCCGCGGCGUAUUAGUUAGUUGGUGAGGUAACGGCUCACCAAGACGAUGAUACGUAGCCGACCUGAGAGGGUGAUCGGCCACAUUGGGACUGAGACACGGCCCAAACUCCUACGGGAGGCAGCAGUAGGGAAUCUUCCGCAAUGGACGAAAGUCUGACGGAGCAACGCCGCGUGAGUGAAGAAGGUUUUUCCGGAUCGUAAAACUCUGUUGUCAGAGAAGAACAAGUUGGAGAGUAACUGCUCCAGCCUUGACGGUAUCUGACCAGAAAGCCACGGCUAACUACGUGCCAGCAGCCGC
This 515-nucleotide ribosomal RNA is filed under the name uncultured bacterium. RNAcentral describes it as "bacterial SSU rRNA". It matches the Rfam family "Bacterial small subunit ribosomal RNA", at positions 33 to 518 of the family's 1533-position model. The record is from RNAcentral.